GGGCCCGCACAAGCGGUGGAGCAUGUGGUUUAAUUCGAUGCAACGCGCAGAACCUUACCUGGGUUUGACAUCCUCGGAUCGAUACAGAGAUGUAUUUUCUUCUUCGGAAGUCGAGUGACAGGUGCUGCAUGGCUGUCGUCAGCUCGUGUCGUGAGAUGUUGGGUUAAGUCCCGCAACGAGCGCAACCCUUAUCCUUAGUUGCCAGCGAUUCGGUCGGGGACUCUAAGGAGACUGCCGGUGUCAAGCCGGAGGAAGGUGGGGAUGACGUCAAGUCCUCAUGGCCCUUAUGCCCAGGGCUACACACGUGCUACAAUGGCCGGUACAAAGAGCUGCGAAGCGGUGACGUG
Molecule: ribosomal RNA, 347 nt
Filed under: uncultured bacterium
Lineage: Bacteria
Description: bacterial SSU rRNA
Rfam family: Bacterial small subunit ribosomal RNA
Source: RNAcentral